This is a non-coding RNA of Pimephales promelas (fathead minnow), 408 nucleotides long. The record is from RefSeq and is a predicted model, not a curated record. Lineage: Eukaryota; Metazoa; Chordata; Actinopteri; Cypriniformes; Leuciscidae.
ACUGGCACCAAAUUUGAAGACCAAAUGCAAGACACAUUUCUUGUAAAUGUGAAUGUUACUGAGGAGGGAACAGAUGUAAUGGUGUCAAAAUCUGCAAUGGUGUCCUUUACAAACAAAGCUGUAUAUCUCUUGGAGGGGAGCAACUGGCCCAACAAACUGCUGUUGAAUCUAACCACAAACAAGAAUUGAUGGGCUGCGUUCUCCCUAAACACUGCUAAUCUUAAGGCUGAUCUGAAUCUGGUGGCGAGUGCUAAUCCAGAGGUUUUUUAUGGUUAUAAAUCGCCAUACUUCACUACAGAUACAAGUGACCGUGGAGUAUUCAUUUGUUGGAGAGGCUGGUAGCUACAGCGAUGACAAUCUAUAUGGUCUUAUCCAAAGGAGUGAUCAUCCUCCAUGGAUUUCAGACGG